UACGUAGGGAGCAAGCGUUGUCCGGAGUCAUUGGGCGUAAAGCGCGCGUAGGCGGCCCUGUAAGUCCGUUGUGAAAGUCAAAGGCUCAACCUUUGAAAGCCGAUGGAUACUGCAGGGCUAGAGUCCGGAAGAGGCGAGUGGAAUUCCUGGUGUAGCGGUGGAAUGCGCAGAUAUCGGGAGGAACACCAGUGGCGAAGGCGGUUGCCUGGGGCUGUGCUGACGCUGAUGCGCGAAAGCGUGGGGAGCGAUCCGG
This 253-nucleotide ribosomal RNA is filed under the name uncultured bacterium. RNAcentral describes it as "partial 16S ribosomal RNA". It matches the Rfam family "Bacterial small subunit ribosomal RNA", at positions 524 to 776 of the family's 1533-position model. The record is from RNAcentral.